GUAGUCAUAUGCUUGUCUCAAAGAUUAAGCCAUGCAUGUCUAAGUACACACUUUGGUAAAGUGAAACCGCGAAUGGCUCAUUAAAUCAGCUACAAUUUAUUAGAUCGUACACUGUUACUUGGAUAACUGUGGGAAUUCUAGAGCUAAUACAUGCCAUGAGUCUCUGCUCUUCGGGGCAGAGCGCAGUUAUUAGACCAAAACCAGCCAUAUCCUUUUGGGGUAUGCUCUUUUGGUGACUCUGGAUAACCUUCAGCCGAUCGCAUGGCCUAGUGCCGGCGACGUAUCUUUCAAGUGUCUGCCCUAUCAACUUUCGAUGGUACGUGAUAUGCCUACCAUGGUGACAACGGGUAACGGGGAAU
Molecule: ribosomal RNA, 359 nt
Filed under: uncultured fungus
Lineage: Eukaryota; Fungi
Description: SSU rRNA
Rfam family: Eukaryotic small subunit ribosomal RNA
Source: RNAcentral